Molecule: ribosomal RNA, 352 nt
Filed under: uncultured bacterium
Lineage: Bacteria
Description: bacterial SSU rRNA
Rfam family: Bacterial small subunit ribosomal RNA
Source: RNAcentral
AAUCAACGCUGGCGGCGUGCCUCAGACAUGCAAGUCGAACGCGAAAGUCCCCUUCGGGGGAUGAUUAGAGUGGCGCACGGGUGAGUAACACGUAGGUAAUCUACCUUCGAGUGGGGAAUAACUCAGGGAAACUUGAGCUAAUACCGCAUAAUGCAGCGGCACCACAUGGUGACAGUUGUUAAAGCAUUUAUGCGCUUGAAGAGGAGCCUGCGGCGGAUAGCUAGUUGGUAAGGUAAUGGCUUACCAAGGCUACGAUCUGUAACGGCCUGAGAGGGCGGACGGUCACACUGACACUGAAUAACGGGUCAGACUCCUACGGGAGGCAGCAGUCGGGAAUUUUGGGCAAUGGGCG